AACGAACGCUGGCGGCAUGCCUAACACAUGCAAGUCGAACGAGACCUUCGGGUCUAGUGGCGCACGGGUGCGUAACGCGUGGGAACCUGCCCUUAGGUUCGGAAUAACUCCCCGAAAGGGGUGCUAAUACCGGAUAAUGUCUUCGGACCAAAGAUUUAUCGCCUUUGGAUGGGCCCGCGUUGGAUUAGCUAGUUGGUAGGGUAAAAGCCUACCAAGGCGACGAUCCAUAGCUGGUCUGAGAGGAUGAUCAGCCACACUGGGACUGAGACACGGCCCAGACUCCUACGGGAGGCAGCAGUGGGGAAUAUUGGACAAUGGGCGAAAGCCUGAUCCAGCAAUGCCGCGUGAGUGAUGAAGGCCUUAGGGUGGUAAAGCACUUUUACCCGGGAUGAUAAUGACAGUACCGGGAGAAUAAGCUCCGGCUAACUCCGUG
Molecule: ribosomal RNA, 433 nt
Filed under: uncultured bacterium
Lineage: Bacteria
Description: partial 16S ribosomal RNA
Rfam family: Bacterial small subunit ribosomal RNA
Source: RNAcentral